Molecule: long non-coding RNA, 443 nt
Filed under: Salvator merianae (Argentine black and white tegu)
Lineage: Eukaryota; Metazoa; Chordata; Lepidosauria; Squamata; Teiidae
Description: lncRNA (ENSSMRG00000009099.1)
Source: RNAcentral
UGCACACAGAACACUUGAGCAAUAUAUAUUUUGAUCCUACGUUUCUAGUUACACUUCUCACCCAAGAAAUCUGAGCAUCAGAAGAAGACAGUGUGAUACCCAGGGAGGAAUGGAAUGGAAUUCUAUAAUGGAAUCUCCAGUGCAGUUGUGACAUUCUGCACAGCAUGGGACAAGAUGACUACAGCAAUGGUGCCAUGGCUGGGGAAGGAUGGUGCUCAUGCUGUCUCAGAGACCUUCUACUUGUUGCUGCUACCUGCCCCUCUCAGUGGUACACCCUGCCUGCCACCACGACCAUCACCCUCACUUCAAACGCACCAAGCAAACUCUCCCAUGAACCAUUGCUGUGGUCAGAGGUUCAGGUGUGGGUCAAGAUCGCAUGGUGCCCAGGGCUUUCAAGUUACAUACUGUUAAGUCUCAAUAAAGAAUCAGGCAUGUUGUAACCA